AAUUUUAAGGGAUACUAGGCUAAGAUUCAAAGGGGAAAAAGAGACAUGAAAGAACUUGUGGGAGUUGAACUACAUUCAUCCACUUUCAAACAAUAACUUUUCUGCGAUUUUCUUCUCUUUUAUCUUUUUAUCCUCUUUUUUUUCAUAAGGAAAAUGUAAUGAAAUCCUUCUUUGCUUUUUCCACUUCUUUUUUUAAUAUUGUUUUCUUCUUUUUCUAUAUAUUUUUUUUCUUUUUCUGUCAACUUUUGAAUGAAAUAUCACAACUAUAGUUAUUCAACCUCACAUAACUUCAAACAAGACUCUUUCAGUCUUAUGAAUGGGUGAUAACAUUGUUUUUCACUUUCAGGCUUGUAAUGAGUUUAAACAAAGAAUAUGAUAAUAGGCUCAAAGGGGUUUUCAAACAAGGGAUGAUGUUAUUCAGGGUUGGCUUUUUGGUUAAUGACUAAAAAAAUAAACAAAACAAAAAUAAGUUGCCUUU
This 478-nucleotide long non-coding RNA is filed under the name Lathyrus oleraceus (garden pea). RNAcentral's name for it is "Pisum sativum (pea) long non-coding RNA (PSAT_LNC027612)". Lineage: Eukaryota; Viridiplantae; Streptophyta; Magnoliopsida; Fabales; Fabaceae. The record is from RNAcentral.